This 4934-nucleotide long non-coding RNA is filed under the name Nicotiana tabacum (common tobacco). Its description in RNAcentral is "long non-coding RNA (NTAB_LNC003328)". The record is from RNAcentral. Lineage: Eukaryota; Viridiplantae; Streptophyta; Magnoliopsida; Solanales; Solanaceae.
ACACUCUUUCUUUUUGCCCAAGAAUUCAUCCAUUUUAGAGAGGCACAUAGAUAAAGAAUGGAGAGCGGAACAAUACAAGGGCUAGAAAUUAGGGAAAGAUCUGGAAUUUUUAGGGUGGAGACGACACAAAGUAUCGGCUUCUGGAGGAGACAAUACCCAUUUUAGGAUUUGGCUCUCUGUUAUUGCUCUCACAGAAAAUCAAUCCAAAAUACCAUCUAUACAAUACCAAGCACCACCAGUCGAACCAUCGUAGAUCUGUCCCCAAAACUGCCAUUGGUCCUCCAUAACAAGCCAUUUUCAUGGCGCCAUUAAUUAUUGAGUAACGUUGAGUAUCGUUCCAGUGCUCCGGUCGGCGCUUUUCUGUUCAAGGUCAGGUCAGAGGCGUGAAUUGAUUUUUAAUUUAGUGCAAGUUUGCUGUCAACCUUUUGCUUUUCGGUGUCGUACUUAGAGGCAUUCAUAAAUCAAAUUCUGAAAGAAAUUUUGGUUUUAACAAAGAUACGAGGCUUUCGAAGGUCAAUUCACGAGGCAAAAGCAUAGCGGAGUAAAUAAUUACACGGUUCAAAGUAAGUGACUUGUCUAACCUUGUGUUGGAGAAAUUCCCAUAGGAUUGGUAUUGUCAUGAAAAUUGUGAUGUGUUGAAAGUCGUGUAUGCGAGGUGACGAGUGUGUACACGGGUUAACUGUGGAAAAACUUUAGUUUUAAGUUGUGUAGAUCUCUGUUAUAUAUUAAUUAAAUUAUUUUAUCCGGUAAUAUUCAACAUCAUUGGUCUAUUUAUAUAUUUUGAAAUUUGUCUUACCUUUUUUCUGCUAAUUGCUUUACCUGUUUAGUUGAAACUUUGUUUCUUUUAUUUUGUGCUCAUUAUUUGAAAGUUGAAUUUCUUAAUUGAAUUAUUAUUAAUAUGAAGUAUUUGACAUUGAAAUUUGGUAUUUGAGGUAAAGUGUUUUAUUGUGAAAUAUUGCUUUGUUAAGUUAUUCACUCCCGGAUAUUUUAUUGAGAUUUGUAUUCAUUGUGAUUGAGCUGUGAGCUCCUUAUUGUGGAAAUUAAUAUUGUUGUUGAUUUAUUUUGGCAAGUUGAGAUAUUUGGGCACUUGAGGUGCAAAUUGUGAUAUUGAUACGCAUACGGUGGUAUAAGGUCUGGGUGUUGAAACGCAUGCGGUGAGAUAAGGGUGGCUUGAUACGCGUGGCUAGUAGGGAAACUACUAGAAGUCAUGCGGUGUGAUAAGGGUGGCUAAAACGUGGGAUGCCAUUUCGGGAUUAAUGAUUUCUUUAAAAUUAAAUGUGAAGGCUCCCGCAGUGAUAUAAGAAAAUGAGAUAUUGUGAAUUUAUUUAUGAUUUGGGACUACGAGGCGGUACCUCAGGAGUGCCCUUGUUGAUAUUUCUUUAUGGCUGCAUUUGCCUUUGGUUAUUUUUGUAUUUUUCUUAAAGUUGUAAAUUUUUGUUUUCCUUCUAUGACGUAUUAUUUGCCUUUAUUCUGUGUAUUUAAAUUGUGACAUACUACUUACUUGAUUCAUUCCUAUUAUCAUUUUUAUUAUUAUAUUGUUAAACUUUUUACCCUGUCUUUUAUUAUUUUUAGUAGGGCCUGACCUAACCUCGUCACUACUCUACCGAGGUUAGGCUUUACACUUACUGGGUACCGCUGUGGUGUACUCAUACUACGCUUCUGCACAUCUUUUUUUGCAGAUCAAGGUACUUCCUAUCAGACUAGGCAUCAGUGAACUAGCCAUACACGGAGACUUCAAGGUAUAUCUGCUAGCGUCCGCAGACCUCAAAAUCCCCUUCUAUCCUUAUUAUGUUGUUUCCCUUUUUCUCUUUAGACUCAGAUGUAUAGAGACACUUAGAAUAAAUUUUUAGAAGCUUGUGACUUAUUUCUAUCGGGUAUUGGGAGUUAUAAUUAUUUGAAUUGCAGUUUCAAUUAUUUUAGAUUUCUAUUAUGUUAUUCCGCAUUGAUAGGCUUACCUAGUCUUAGAGACUAGGUGCAAUCGCGAUAUCCUACAGGGGGAAUUUAGGGUCGUGACAAGUUGAUAUCAGAGCUCUAGGUUCAUAGGUGUUAUGAGUCAUAAGCAGGUUUAGUAGAGUCUCGCGAAUCGGUACGGAGACGUUUGUACUUAUCUUCGGGAGGCUAUGAAACUGUUAGGAAAAUGUUCAUUUCUUUGAUUCCAUAUCGUGCGCAUUUGUUGACUUCGAAAUUCUAAACUCUAGUCUUUUUAUUCUCUCACAUAUGGUGAGGACACGUACAACUGGAUCCGAUGAUCAGACAUCCACACCCCCUGUUGGAGCCGCAAGAGGCCGGAGCCGGGGCAUAGGCCGAGGAAGACCCCGCGGUGCAGCCAGAGCACCUGCACGAGCUGCUGCAGCAGAGCCACCAGUAGCUCCAGUUGGAGAGCAUGAACCUGAGACGCCUGUUACUACCCCUGCACUUUAAAACCUCUGGGGCAUGGUAAACCUGGGCCUGUGGCUCUGGGGUACGGGCGGCGGAAGUCUGUGCUCCUCCCCCGGCCUGAGAUGUGGCAGGAGAGUUGAGAAGUUUGACCGAGAGUUAAUUUUGUGGUUACUAGGUUUGGAUUUUCAUUUCGGAAUUUUGAAUAGGUAUGUCGUAUCAUUUAAGACUUGUGUGCAAAUUGUGAGGUCAAUCAGAUAUGAUUUGAUAGGUUUUGGCAUCGAAUGUAGAAGUUGAAAGUUCAUUAGUUUCAAUAGGCUUGAAUUGGGGUGCGAUUCGUAUUUUUGAUAUUGUUUGAUGUGAUUUGAGGCCUCGACUCACUCGUAUCAUGUUUUAGAACUUGUUGGUAUAUUUGGUUGAGGUCCCAGGGGCCUCAGGUGAGUUUCAGGUUGAUUGCGGAUUGAAUUUGGCCUUGUAGAGUUGCAGAUUUUCUGGUGUCUAAUGUUCUUAUAUGCAUUCGCGAGAGAGGUCUCGCAUUCGCGAAGAGUAACUGGGAGGCAGGUAAAGUUUGUUCUUCGCAUUCGCGAAGAAGGCCACGCGUUCGCGAAGGUAUAGUGUGUUUGUGCAUCACGGGCAAGGAGCCGCGUUCGCGAAGAAGAAAGGCAGGCUGGGGAUCUCACACGUUAGGUCUAUGCGUUCGCGAUGGAGGCUUUGCGUUCGUGAAGCUUGGGAUCAUUUGGUCAUCACGUUCGCGUAAGAGGAAUUUUGGCAGCUGAGUAUUUUGUGCUUGGCGAACGCGAGGCUCUUUCCGCGUUCGCGAAGAAGGACAUCUGGGCAGAAUAUAAGAUUUCAAAAAGGAGGGUUAGAGUAAAAUUUCAUAAUUGAACUUUGGGAGCUCGGAUUGAGGCGAUUAUUGGAGGAGUUUUCAAGGAAUUGAUUGGGGUAAGUGAUUCUAAUUCGGAUUUGGUUAAUAUACAUGAAUCUAUCAUUAUUUUUAUCAUUUAAUUAGUGUUUUGGGUUGGAAAAUUUGGGAAAUAAUGUAGAAACUUCAUAGGCUUUAAUUUGAGGAUUUGAAGGUCGAGUUGUGAUCGGAAUUGAAUAAUUUUGGUAUGGUUGGACUCGUGGUUGAAUGGAUAUUCAGAUUUUGUUAAUUUUGUCGGAUUCCGAGAUGUGAGCCCGGGGUUAACUUUUUGAGUUGAUUUUUUUUACUUUUGUUAAACAGCUUAGAUUUGUCAUAUGGAAUUGAUUCAUAUAACUUAUGUUGAUUGUAUCGAGUUGUUUGUGGCUAGAUUCGAGGCGUUUGGAGGCCGAUUCGCGAGGCAAGGGAAUAUUGGAGUAGAGAUUUACAGGGUUUGAGGUAAGUAAUAUUUUUAAACUUGGUUCUGAGGGUAUGAACCCCUAAUUACGUGUUAUGUGGUUGGUGUUGAGGUGACACACAUGCUAGGUGACAGGCGUGUGGGUGUGCACUGUAGAAAUUGUGACUCGGUCGAUUUUAUGGAAUUGUGUAGUCAUAUAAUCUUGUUAUUAUCCAUGUAUUCUCCAUGUGUUAGAGAAAUUGAGUUGUGAUUCAUGUUAGAAAUCAUAUUUAGGCUAUAUGCUGGUUCAGUUGGGACCCUCUGAGGUCUUGUUGCUGUUGAAUUAUUUCCUUAAUUUGCAAUUAUGUACUCGAUCACAUCUAUCAUUUGUAUAUCAUAUCUCAGUCUCUAUUGGCAUUUAUUGAUAUAUCAUAUCAUCAUUGUUUGGGCUGAUUGUCAUGAUAUUUGUGAGCCCGAGAGUCUGGUGAGAUUGAUGACUGAGUGAGGCCGCAGGCCUGAUUGUGAGUGAGUUUUAUGGGAUCGGGCUGCACACCACAUCAGGCUUUAUUGAUUCAUUCCAUGAUUGGCUUAUUUUAGUGCUUGGGCAGGAUCCACCCCUUCGGAGUCUGACUUACCAACAGUAAGCACAGGUGCCUAUUAAGUGCGAGUGCGAGUGACGAGCGAUUUGAAGAACUGAGUGACUAGGAUGACUGAGUGAUUGGGAGGACUGAGUGAAUUGAUACUCCGAGAGUAUGCAUAAGAUUUUAUCACUGUGUUGUAUUACAAUUGGAAUGCAUAAUUGACAUGUAGAUAUAGUGAUGUAUCAUUCCUCAUUUCUGUCACACUUGGCAUAUUUUAUCCGUAUUGAACUUAAACUGUUAAAUUUGGAAGCAUGUAUAUAUUUAUGUACUCUAAAAUUUUUGUAUUUGGAUUGUACAUGUUAAGCUCAUCACUACUUUCAGCACAAGGUUAGUCUUGUUACUUAUUGAAAAUAUUGGGUUGGUUGUAUUCAUACUACACUUUGCAUUUUGAGCGCAGAUCCAGGUACUUUCGUGUACGGUGGCUGCUAGCUUCAGAGUUUCAUCUGUUAGAGACUAUCGAGGUAGCUGCCUUGGCAUCCGCAGACCUUGACUCUCCUUAUUUUCAAUUAUUUGUACUGUUCUAUCUUUCUAGAUAGUAUUUUAGCAGUCAGACUAUGUUGUCAUUUAGAAGCUCAUGUACUCAGUGACACCCAAAUUUUGGAGUUGCGUUAUUUUCUUAUCA